Molecule: ribosomal RNA, 1438 nt
Filed under: uncultured organism
Description: 16S ribosomal RNA
Rfam family: Bacterial small subunit ribosomal RNA
Source: RNAcentral
CAGGCUUAACACAUGCAAGUCGAGGGGCAUCGGGUAGAAAGCUUGCUUUCUUUGCCGGCGACCGGCGCACGGGUGAGUAACACGUAUCCAACCUGCCCUUUACUCGGGGAUAGCCUUUCGAAAGAAAGAUUAAUACCCGAUAGUAUAAUGAUUCCGCAUGGUUUCAUUAUUAAAGGAUUCCGGUAAAGGAUGGGGAUGCGUUCCAUUAGGUUGUUGGUGAGGUAACGGCUCACCAAGCCUUCGAUGGAUAGGGGUUCUGAGAGGAAGGUCCCCCACAUUGGAACUGAGACACGGUCCAAACUCCUACGGGAGGCAGCAGUGAGGAAUAUUGGUCAAUGGGCGCUAGCCUGAACCAGCCAAGUAGCGUGAAGGAUGAAGGCUCUAUGGGUCGUAAACUUCUUUUAUAUAAGAAUAAAGUGCAGUAUGUAUACUGUUUUGUAUGUAUUAUAUGAAUAAGGAUCGGCUAACUCCGUGCCAGCAGCCGCGGUAAUACGGAGGAUCCGAGCGUUAUCCGGAUUUAUUGGGUUUAAAGGGAGCGUAGGUGGACUGGUAAGUCAGUUGUGAAAGUUUGCGGCUCAACCGUAAAAUUGCAGUUGAUACUGUCAGUCUUGAGUACAGUAGAGGUGGGCGGAAUUCGUGGUGUAGCGGUGAAAUGCUUAGAUAUCACGAAGAACUCCGAUUGCGAAGGCAGCUCACUGGACUGCAACUGACACUGAUGCUCGAAAGUGUGGGUAUCAAACAGGAUUAGAUACCCUGGUAGUCCACACAGUAAACGAUGAAUACUCGCUGUUUGCGAUAUACAGUAAGCGGCCAAGCGAAAGCAUUAAGUAUUCCACCUGGGGAGUACGCCGGCAACGGUGAAACUCAAAGGAAUUGACGGGGGCCCGCACAAGCGGAGGAACAUGUGGUUUAAUUCGAUGAUACGCGAGGAACCUUACCCGGGCUUAAAUUGCAGUGGAAUGAUGUGGAAACAUGUCAGUGAGCAAUCACCGCUGUGAAGGUGCUGCAUGGUUGUCGUCAGCUCGUGCUGUGAGGUGUCGGCUUAAGUGCCAUAACGAGCGCAACCCUUAUCUUCAGUUACUAACAGGUCAUGCUGAGGACUCUGGAGAGACUGCCGUCGUAAGAUGUGAGGAAGGUGGGGAUGACGUCAAAUCAGCACGGCCCUUACGUCCGGGGCUACACACGUGUUACAAUGGGGGGUACAGAAGGCAGCUAGCGGGUGACCGUAUGCUAAUCCCAAAAUCCUCUCUCAGUUCGGAUCGAAGUCUGCAACCCGACUUCGUGAAGCUGGAUUCGCUAGUAAUCGCGCAUCAGCCACGGCGCGGUGAAUACGUUCCCGGGCCUUGUACACACCGCCCGUCAAGCCAUGGGAGCCGGGGGUACCUGAAGUACGUAACCGCAAGGAUCGUCCUAGGGUAAAACUGGUGACUGGGGCUAA